AUUACCUCAGUAACGGCGAGUGAAGCGGUAACAGCUCAAAUUUGAAAUCUGGCCUCGCGGUCCGAGUUGUAAUUUGUAGAGGAUGCUUCGGGUGUGGUCCGGUCUAAGUUUCUUGGAACAGUACGUCAUAGAGGGUGAGAAUCCCGUAUGCGACCGGUCGCCGCUAUCCAUGUGAAGCUCCUUCGACGAGUCGAGUUGUUUGGGAAUGCAGCUCAAAAUGGGUGGUAAAUUUCAUCUAAAGCUAAAUAUUGGCCAGAGACCGAUAGCGCACAAGUAGAGUGAUCGAAAGAUGAAAAGCACUUUGGAAAGAGAGUUAAACAGUACGUGAAAUUGUUGAAAGGGAAGCGCUUGCAACCAGACUUGCACGCAGUCGAUCAUCCGGCCUUUUGACCGGUGCACUCGAUUGCGUUCAGGCCAGCAUCGGUUUUGGCGGCUGGAUAAAGGCCCCGGGAAUGUAGCUUCCUUCGGGGAGUGUUAUAGCCCGGGGUGCAAUGCAGCCUGCCGGGACCGAGGACCGCGCUUCGGCUAGGAUGCUGGCGUAAUGGUUGUAAGCGACCCGUCUUGAAACACGGACCAAGGAGUCUAACAUCUAUGCGAGUUUUUGGGUGUAAAACCCAUGAGCGUAAUGAAAGUGAACGGAGGUGAGAACCCUUAAGGGUGCAUCAUCGACCGGUCCUGAUGUCUUCGGAUGGAUCUGAGUAAGAGCAUAGCUGUUGGGACCCGAAAGAUGGUGAACUAUGCCUGAAUAGGGUGAAGCCAGAGGAAACUCUGGUGGAGGCUCGCAGCGGUUCUGACGUGCAAAUCGAUCGUCAAAUUUGGGUAUAGGGGCGAAAGACUAAUCGAACC
Molecule: ribosomal RNA, 846 nt
Filed under: Scolecoleotia eriocamporesi
Lineage: Eukaryota; Fungi; Ascomycota; Leotiomycetes; Leotiales
Description: Leotiomycetes sp. HBJ-2021a partial large subunit ribosomal RNA
Rfam family: Eukaryotic large subunit ribosomal RNA
Source: RNAcentral